This is a non-coding RNA of Camellia sinensis, 3274 nucleotides long. The record is from RefSeq and is a predicted model, not a curated record. NCBI's taxonomy places the organism in Eukaryota, Viridiplantae, Streptophyta, Magnoliopsida, Ericales, Theaceae.
CAGUGGGGUCUCUGAGCAUGAAUUAUUGAAUUCUCUUUUGGAUAGAAAGCUUUAUUAGUAAAAAAAAGUAACAAAAAACACAACCCAAGGGACAGACUCAGAGAAGCAUGUUAAAAUGUUCUGAGGUUCAAUCAUCAUAUGACCCAAAAGAGGAUGCUUUUGAAUGGAUGGGGUGGGAUUUUCAAUUCCAAGGAUGUGGAAAUGAAAAUGAUUUCCAUAACAGACUUCAUUGAUGAAAGCAUUGUUUGUUUAUUUGAAAUGGGAAUCUAGUGUUCAUUUGGUGGUAGACAAGAAUUGUAAUCUCUCCUAUGUACUGUUUGGUGGGGAGGAAAAAAAAUUUAAAGUCCUAUGUAAUGUUUGUUUAUCUUGACAUCUAUAAAGUUGUUCUUACCUGGAUUUUAAUUUGUUCAUUUUUAGUUCUUACUAAAAAAUACUCCAUUUAGAUUGAUAUAUAAAUCUUGGUAUUAUUCAGUAAUUAGCCUUACUAAAAAAAAAUAGUUUAAUUAUAAUAUUUCAUAGUGUCAUAUAUAUAAUUUCUAUGUAUCAACAAAAAAAUUUAGGUUGCUAGGGUUACUUGAGUUAUGAAAACUCAUGCCCAAAUUGCCAAUUUAGUUCCAAUUGUAUUUUGUUCUUUAAUUGCCAACAAAAAAAAAACCCAAGUUGCACCCUCACCUCUAGUUCCAAUUGUAUUUUGUUCUUUAAUUUUUUACAAAUUGCCAAUUUAGUCCAACUGAACAAAAAUCAAGCAUAAAAGGAUAUAUUUAAGAGAGAAUAGACCAUUUCAUAAUAGAUGCUAAUUUUUAAUAUAUUGGGACAUAAUGCUUAGUUUGGUUUGAUUUAUGCUUUAAAUUUACUGCUAUUGACAAAUGUGUGAAUGACUAGAUGAAUAUAAUCUUUUUUAUUGAAAUAAGUUUGCAUUUGUUAUCAUGCUUUUGCUAAGGCAGUCAACUGGUCAAUAAUUUUGAGAGGUUUCUUUCUUCUCUAAAUCUUACUCAUAAUUACCACCAAUUUUUCAUCAUGUACCUAUCAUAUCCAAUAACUAUUACAAUAAUUUUGUACCUUCAUCAAACUAUAAAUGGCUAAUCAGUUUACUCAAUCAUCAAACUAUUCAAAAAUUCAGAACACCACUCACACCACUUGUCCUAUAUAUAAAGUAUACAAGUUGUUUAGUGUGAAUUAUUUGUCACACUCUUUGCAUUAACUGAUUCAAUAUUUUAAAACUCAACAACCUUUAUUUCAUAUUUUUUAUUCGUAAAUUACAAAUAGUGUGUAUUUAUAUGUAUGUAUAUAUGUGCUAUUUGUAAUCAACUUUUUGGAAGUUAAGUGGAAGAUAAUGGACUAGCAUUGCAAUUUAGGGAAGACAAGAAAACUGUUGAAGCAUUUCAUUAACAUGUUGUGUGCAUGAGACUUGUUUGGACAAAUUAAGGGGGGCUAGCAAAAACAUGCCUUUGGACUUUGCAAUUAGUUUUAGAUAACACACAAAGUGAUAAAAAAAAAAUAAAUAAAUAAAUAAUAAAUAACUAAAUACACGAGUUAUAAAUGUUUCAUAACACAAUAUCGAUGCACAUGCUCUUUCAUGCACGUUUUGAGUUUUGGUUUUGCUAAUGCUGUCAUUCUUGGUGUGAUGUUUGUUAACAUAGUAUGUUUCUCUCUUGUUUUUUAGUUUUUCAUUUGUUGAAUUGUGUUUUGUUGGUAUAACAAAACAACUAUCCAACACCUUUGAUUAUAAAUAAAAAAAAAAUUAAUGAGUGGGAAGUCGUGUAUUUAUGUUGACAGAUUUGAUGGUGCAGUGGCAGCGGCUCAAAGAGUAGCACGGCUGGACUUAAGCAACAAGGAAGUGAACAUGGUGGUUAGGAGGACACGGGCGGUGGCAAUGGCUCAGUCCAACAGUAACGAUUUGUUCAGGGGAUAAAGAUACUCAGAUGCUUGUGUUGCAUAUGGAGAGGGACUCGACCAUGACCCCUACAACUCGGUGUUGUUGUGCAGCAGAGCCACUUGCAAGUCCAAACUUGGUCAAUUUGAGAAAGCAAUCAAGGACUGGACUGCUGCCCUUAAUGUGCGCCCAUCUUACAGGAAAGCCAGAUUAAGAAGAGUCAAUUGCUAUGCCAAGGUUAUGGCAAGCAAGACAAAGAUCUACAUUGUGCUCGAGUAUGUUGGUGAGGGUGAGCUUUUUGACAAAAUAGCCAAACUAGGAAGACUUAAAGAGGAUGAAUCUAGGAGAUAUUUUCAGCAGCUCAUCAAUGCUGUAGACUACUGCCACAGUAGGGGCAUGUACCAUAGAGACUUAAAGCCCAAAAAUCUGCUUCUAGACUCAUUUGGUGUUCUCAAGGUUUUAGACUUUGGAUUGAGUGCAUUUUCCCAGCAAGUGCAGGUAAGUAUUAUGUGAGUUUGCAACAAUUUCCUCAUCUGAGAGCAGAUUUUUAGUAGGUGGGUGUUUAAUAAAUUGAACGUCAAAUUUUUAAAAGUGGUAGUAGCACUGAGUCAAUUUUGCAGCCUAUUUAGUUUACUAAAAUCACGUAGUCCAGAAACUACCUUUCCGGCCAGGAGCAGCGCCCUGCUCUGAAAGGAAUUCCUCAGGAAUAAUGUGGCCAUUAGUUUUUCUUCUAUCCUUCAGUAGCUUGUUUAUUUCUUGUUUCUAUUAAUUUGGAAAUGAACUUUUUUUUAUGAUUUGUGUCUUUCCUUUCCCUCUUUUUAUAUUAGUUUCCCCAAAUCAAGGAGGCUGUUUAGUUUUGUUAGUUGACUUCUUCAUAAGAUUCUGUAUUAUGCAUCAUCUAGAUUUCGACACUUCGAAAACAUUCAGAGACCAUUUUUUAAGACUUGAUCUAAUCCACAUUGAGGUUAUAUGAUCUCAAUAUCAUUCAGACACAUAAGUUGUGGAUUGCCUUAAACCUAACCCUCAUUCAUCAAUAUAAGUUGGUGUUGUGGCUUUGCUUAAUCAAAGACUGACUACCUUUUUUACUGUCGGAAGACGUGCUGUUUCACACUGCCCGUGGAACCCCAAAUUAUGUUGCUCCUGAGGUGCUCACUACUAAAGGUUAUGAUGGUACAGCAGCUGAUGUAUGGUCUUGUGGGGUCAUUCUGUUUGUUCUUAUGGCUGGAUACUUACCUUUUGACGAGCCGAACCACAUGGCUUUGAAAGCAUUCAAGCACUUAAUUUUUUAAAGUUUUUUUUUAAUUUUUUAAUAUAUGUAAUCACAGUUAAAUUUUUUUUAUUAAUUUCUUUGUAUAUACUUUUGAAAAUUUAACUUUCAUUUAUUAAAUAUAUGAUGUUAUU